AGACUCCUACGGGAGGCAGCAGUGGGGAAUAUUGGACAAUGGGCGAAAGCCUGAUCCAGCCAUGCCGCGUGUGUGAAGAAGGUCUUCGGAUUGUAAAGCACUUUAAGUUGGGAGGAAGGGUUGUAGAUUAAUACUCUGCAAUUUUGACGUUACCGACAGAAUAAGCACCGGCUAACUCUGUGCCAGCAGCCGCGGUAAUACAGAGGGUGCAAGCGUUAAUCGGAAUUACUGGGCGUAAAGCGCGCGUAGGUGGUUUGUUAAGUUGGAUGUGAAAGCCCCGGGCUCAACCUGGGAACUGCAUCCAAAACUGGCAAGCUAGAGUACGGUAGAGGGUGGUGGAAUUUCCUGUGUAGCGGUGAAAUGCGUAGAUAUAGGAAGGAACACCAGUGGCGAAGGCGACCACCUGGACUGAUACUGACACUGA
RNAcentral lists this ribosomal RNA (424 nucleotides) under Pseudomonas sp. RNAcentral's name for it is "bacterial SSU rRNA". It matches the Rfam family "Bacterial small subunit ribosomal RNA", at positions 333 to 749 of the family's 1533-position model. The record is from RNAcentral. Lineage: Bacteria; Pseudomonadati; Pseudomonadota; Gammaproteobacteria; Pseudomonadales; Pseudomonadaceae.